This 406-nucleotide ribosomal RNA is filed under the name uncultured bacterium. Its description in RNAcentral is "partial 16S ribosomal RNA". It matches the Rfam family "Bacterial small subunit ribosomal RNA", at positions 30 to 526 of the family's 1533-position model. The record is from RNAcentral.
AUUGAACGCUGGCGGCAGGCCUAACACAUGCAAGUCGAACGAGUGGCGGACGGGUGAGUAAUGUCUGGGAAACUUCCUGAUGGAGGGGGAUAACUACUGGAAACGGUAGCUAAUACCGCCUACCCUCAGAUGCGCCCAGGUGGGAUUAGCUAGUUGGUGGGGUAACGGCUCACCAAGGCGACGAUCCCUAGCUGGUCUGAGAGGAGGACCAGACACACUGGAACGGAGACACGGUCCAGACUCCUACGGGAGGCAGCAGUGGGGAAUAUUGCACAAUGGGCGAAAGCCGGAUGCAGCAAUGCCGCGUGUAUGAAGAAGGCCUUCGGGUUGUAAAGUACUUUCAGCGGGGAGGCGUUACCCGCAGAAGAAGCACCGGCUAACGCCGUGCCAGCAGCCGCGGUAAUUC